AUAUCUCUCUGUACGGGAAGGAUGAGAAGCUUCUACCAGGGUUCGAUUCGAGCGCAGCGAGAAAGCGUUGCCGCAGGCAACGACCCGAAGGGCGAAGCGCGCAGCGCUGAGUC
This 113-nucleotide small RNA is filed under the name Salmonella enterica subsp. enterica serovar Heidelberg. RNAcentral describes it as "partial RtT sRNA". It matches the Rfam family "RtT RNA", at positions 1 to 112 of the family's 130-position model. From Rfam's summary of the family: This family represents a bacterial cis-regulatory element known as RtT RNA. The exact function of RtT is unknown although it is thought that it may be involved in changing the cellular response in relation to amino acid starvation. The record is from RNAcentral. Lineage: Bacteria; Pseudomonadati; Pseudomonadota; Gammaproteobacteria; Enterobacterales; Enterobacteriaceae. RNAcentral also lists the same sequence under 3 other names.